GGGUCAGUAGGUUGGUCGUGCCACCGGUACGUACUGGUCUCACUGAUUCCUCCUUCCUGAAGAACCGUAAUGCCAUUAAUUUGGUGUUGCGGGGAAACAGGACCGUUACUUUGAAAAAAUUAGAGUGUUUAAAGCAAGCUAACGCUUGAAUACAUUAGCAUGGAAUAAUGAAAUAGGACGAUCGAUCCUAUUUUGCUGGUUUCUAGGAUUGACGUA
This 216-nucleotide ribosomal RNA is filed under the name Glomeromycotina sp. RNAcentral's name for it is "partial small subunit ribosomal RNA". The stretch from base 44 to 216 matches the Rfam family "Eukaryotic small subunit ribosomal RNA", at positions 690 to 864 of the family's 1831-position model. Lineage: Eukaryota; Fungi; Glomeromycota. The record is from RNAcentral.